AUGAAGUCAUCUUCAGAGAAAAAAAUGAUCUUUGCUGAAGGUCUGGUUAGGUUGCACCUUGGCUGGAGAAGUCACCCUGGCAGUAAAGUCAGCUCCAGACUCUUGAUUCAGGAGAAACCAUUAUGGAAGUGCCUAGAAAAUAAGCAAAAAGCCAGGAAGACCUACAUAAUUUUCACCAUUGCUCCAACUGAAAGACUUCCCCAGGUAAAAGGCAACUGGCACAUUGAAUGUUUUGACAUUAAAUUAAUCCAUUCAAUAGCCAAUUAGAAACAAGAAGUACAAGCUUAGAAAUGUAGAAAUAAACUUGAUGAAUACAUUGUUUUCACAGUAGUGAGAUUGAGAAUCCCCUACAUUACUUGGAAGGAAGAGAAUAUUUCAAAGCAGAUCAGAAUAUGUCACCACAGGUGAAAACAAGAGACUCAGAACCUCCGAGAGAACCCAAAAUGAUUGAAAUUGCCAUCAGCCAUGAUUGGCCAAGUUUUUCACCAGUUUCUUAGGGGGAUAGGAUUGGGGUUAAAUUAGAAUUGUACAUAAGAAUAUGCAUAAAUACCCACAAACAUUUGCUUCCAUUAGUGUAGUAAAAUCUGUAUAGUUAAUUCACAGCCUACGUUCAGCAAAUACUCACCUAAUUCUUCUGUGAUCUAUAUUAUAGCCUGAGCUAAGAAAAUGCAUGUGAGGAUUAUUAUAUUGGAUUAUUAUAUUGGUUUUAGUGGUUGCAUGUGACUCUCUGCACCUUUUUCUCAGUCCUAUCCUUAACUUUGCCUUGAAAUGUCCUAGAAAGCACAGAGAAAGCUCCAAAGUUACACAACGUUCAUCACUAUGCAAACCGAUCAAUGAUCUGAAAAUACUAUGGAGAUAUUAUUCUGA
This 867-nucleotide long non-coding RNA is filed under the name Canis lupus familiaris (dog). RNAcentral's name for it is "lncRNA (ENSCAFG00040015512.1)". Lineage: Eukaryota; Metazoa; Chordata; Mammalia; Carnivora; Canidae. The record is from RNAcentral.